Molecule: long non-coding RNA, 939 nt
Organism: Vicia villosa (hairy vetch)
Lineage: Eukaryota; Viridiplantae; Streptophyta; Magnoliopsida; Fabales; Fabaceae
Exons: 3
Source: RefSeq, a predicted model, not a curated record
CUCGACUCUCGUCUCUCUCUUCGCAAAAACGAGGCGCGGCGGCGGUUCUGCCCUUCUUCUCCGAUCAAACGGCGGUGACGGAUAGCUCCGACUCUUUCAAUCUUCUUCUCCGAGCUCGAAUUUAUGUUCCAAUCUCUUUCGUCCCAAUCGCGAACUCAGUUCUCUCCUCUCCAACUUGGAAUAGUGACGGCGGCCACUCGAAUCUUCCAACGAAGUUGCGGUGGUGAUGUCGCGGGAGGGUGCGGUUUUGUGACGCCGAAUCUUGAAGCGGAUUGAUGAAGAGUUGAAGGUUGCUGAUAUGGCGAUGGAGAUUGAUGAUUGAUGCUGCGUUGUUGCGUUCUUGAGUAUGGAUGAAGGUUGUCCUCGAUGAAGAUAGAGGAAGAUUGAAGGUUAGGUGAAGAAGAAUCGAGGUUUGAGGUAUGAAGAGUGAGAGAGAUUUGGUGAAUGUUGCAGAGGUGGUGAAGAAGGAAGAGGGGCUGAGAGAUGAAGCAAGGUUGAAGAUGAUGAAAUGAUGGAGAUUGAAGGGUGAAGGUGGAAAAUGGUCGAGUUGGUGAAUGAUGGGAGAUGGCGUCUGAAUGGUUCUGAUUGGGAGAUGGCGUCUGAAUGGAGAGAGCCAAAAUGGUGGAGAUGCUGAUGAUAUAUAGAGGCUGAGGAAAGGUUUCAGUUGAGGUUUUGAAUGGUGAACUUUGUUGGCAAAAGCAAUAGCAUGACAACACUCUUGAAAGCAUGACGAGGUCGAGUGUAUGAGAAAAAGUCUAGCAGCAACCUUUCCGUACAGUGCAGUAGCUAGUAUAAUGUACAUAAGAUUGGAAUCUGUAAUAGAUAAUGAACUUGAACAUGUACUGUCAGUAGCCUAGUAUGCAAUUUGUAUUUGAUUGUGAGUCUAUACACGAAGGAUGAACGGAUUGAUAAUUGAGGUGAUGAAUAGAGGUUGAUUUC